GAUGAAGAACGUAGCGAAAUGCGAUAAGUAGUGUGAAUUGCAGAUUUCAGUGAAUCAUCGAGUCUUUGAACGCACAUUGCGCCCCCUGGUAUUCCGGGGGGCAUGCCUGUCCGAGCGUCAUUGCUGCCCUCAAGCACGGCUUGUGUGUUGGGCCCCGCCCCCCGGCUCCCGGGGGGCGGGCCCGAAAGGCAGCGGCGGCACCGCGUCCGGUCCUCGAGCGUAUGGGGCUUCGUCACCCGCUCCGUAGGCCCGGCCGGCGCCCGCCGGCGACCCCCCUCAAUCUUUUCAGGUUGACCUCGGAUCAGGUAGGGAUACCCGCUGAACUUAAGCAUAUCAAUAAGCGGAGGA
RNAcentral lists this unclassified non-coding RNA (348 nucleotides) under soil metagenome. RNAcentral's name for it is "partial contains 5.8S ribosomal RNA, internal transcribed spacer 2, and large subunit ribosomal RNA". The stretch from base 1 to 120 matches the Rfam family "5.8S ribosomal RNA", at positions 35 to 154 of the family's 154-position model. The record is from RNAcentral.